AUUCAUUCAUCUCGGUUUUUUUCAACAAAAAAAAAAAGAAGAGAACAGGGGUCCUUGAAUUGGAGUCUUUGGAACAAUAAUUGGUAUCUUUAUUAACGCAAGGGCUAUAGCUCAGUUAGGUAGAGCACCUCAUUUACACGCACACCAAUGUUUUUCAGGGGAGUCUAUCAUGCAAUCAAAAGAAUUGAGGUGAGGCAAUAGCUUAACAAGGCGAUGAUCAGUAGCUAGUCUGAGAGGAUGAUCAGCCACACUGGGACUGAGACAUGGCCUAUACUCCUACGGGAGGCAGCA
This 291-nucleotide non-coding RNA is filed under the name Corchorus olitorius. Lineage: Eukaryota; Viridiplantae; Streptophyta; Magnoliopsida; Malvales; Malvaceae. The record is from Rfam by way of RNAcentral.